Long non-coding RNA from Fopius arisanus, 397 nucleotides. RefSeq lists it as uncharacterized. The transcript has 2 exons. The record is from RefSeq and is a predicted model, not a curated record. Lineage: Eukaryota; Metazoa; Arthropoda; Insecta; Hymenoptera; Braconidae.
GCUGAAUAAAAAAAAAAACACAUGCACUCCGGAUGAGCGUCAGACUCUGACUGAAAGUUUUAUCGUCGAAACGGCGAAGUUACUCCAACCAGCCCAAUGCCAUUGGUUGAGGCACGUACGAGCCCUCGACAUGUGCGUAUCAACGAAAUUGAAAGAAUUCAUGAUGAAUCGAUGGUGUGAGAGGGGAAACAGGUGAUGGAGGUUGACCCAUUUUUCAAUCGUCUGUGACGUCUUCUCCGCAGUUGCAGCAACCGAAAUUCCACGUCUGAAAUAAUAAAGAGAAAUGUAUAAAACCGGAAUUAUUUUCAUUGUAUCAACUAAAAUAUUAAUUAUCAAAGUUUAUAAUUAUUCAUCUGCCAAAAAAUGAACGUUCAACUCAAUAAAAUUGAUGAAUUCA